RNAcentral lists this ribosomal RNA (256 nucleotides) under uncultured Scutellospora. Its description in RNAcentral is "partial 18S ribosomal RNA". It matches the Rfam family "Eukaryotic small subunit ribosomal RNA", at positions 624 to 885 of the family's 1831-position model. Lineage: Eukaryota; Fungi; Glomeromycota; Glomeromycetes; Diversisporales; Gigasporaceae. The record is from RNAcentral.
AAGCUCGUAGUUGAAUUUCGGGGUUCUACCGUUGGUCGGGCUAACCAGUCUGUACUAGCGUGUAGAAUUCCUACCUUCUGGGGAACCAUCAUGUUAUUAAUUUAGCGUGGCGGGAAACCAGGACCUUUACCUUGAAAAAAUUAGAGUGUUCAAAGCAGGCUUACGUCUGAAUACAUUAGCAUGGAAUAAUAAAAUAGGACGGUGGUCCUGUUUUGUUGGUUUCUGAAUCACCGUAAUGAUUAAUAGGAUAGUUGGG